ACUCCUACGGGAGGCAGCAGUGGGGAAUUUUGGACAAUGGGCGAAAGCCUGAUCCAGCAAUCGCCGCGUGUGUGAAGAAGGCCUUCGGGUUGUAAAGCACUUUUGUCCGGAAAGAAAUCCCUGGCUCUAAUACAGUC
RNAcentral lists this ribosomal RNA (137 nucleotides) under Burkholderia multivorans. RNAcentral describes it as "partial 16S ribosomal RNA". It matches the Rfam family "Bacterial small subunit ribosomal RNA", at positions 335 to 469 of the family's 1533-position model. The record is from RNAcentral. Lineage: Bacteria; Pseudomonadati; Pseudomonadota; Betaproteobacteria; Burkholderiales; Burkholderiaceae.